Molecule: ribosomal RNA, 484 nt
Filed under: uncultured bacterium
Lineage: Bacteria
Description: partial 16S ribosomal RNA
Rfam family: Bacterial small subunit ribosomal RNA
Source: RNAcentral
AUUGAACGCUGGCGGCAUGCUUUACACAUGCAAGUCGAACGGCAGCGCGGGCUUCGGCCUGGCGGCGAGUAGCGAACGGGUGAGUAAUGCAUCUGAACGUGCCCAGUAGUGGGGGAUAGCCCGGAGAAAUCCGGAUUAAUACCGAAUACGACCUGCGGGUGAAAGCGGGGGACCGAAAGGCCUCGCGCUAUUGGAGCGACCGAUGUCGGAUUAGCUAGUUGGUGGGGUAAAGGCUUACCAAGGCGACGAUCCGUAGCUGGUCUGAGAGGACGACCAGCCACACUGGGACUGAGACACGGCCCAGACUCCUACGGGAGGCAGCAGUGGGGAAUUUUGGACAAUGGGGGCAAGCCUGAUCCAGCCAUGCCGCGUGCGGGAAGAAGGCCUUCGGGUUGUAAACCGCUUUUGUUCGGGAAGAAAUCCUCUGGGCUAAUACCCCGGGGGGAUGACGGUACCGGAAGAAUAAGCACCGGCUAACUACGUG